AUGAUGAACAGGCCGCGGACGCCAGUCGAAGGCCUUGAGAAGGACUGCGCGGUUGGACUCGAGAGCAGCUGCACUAGAGGACACCAUGGUCUUGGCAUUGCUGCCCCGCACGAGAAGAGGAGGGUUCCCUCCGCCGCCGCCGAGCCCGCAUCCGUGCUCUCCGCGGUGCCCGUCCUCGCUCCGCCGUUGCCAAAUCGUACGAGAUCGGCAGGAUCCGCUGCAUCUUGCGCGCCGCCGCCGGUGCUUCACCUGUUGCCGGCCUCCUUCCAGUUCCCUUCGUCGCCGAGGACGAGCACGCCAAGUUCCCAUGCCUUUUCCAGCGGUCAUUAUGACGAGUUGUUCCCCAACUGA
RNAcentral lists this ribosomal RNA (351 nucleotides) under Triticum aestivum (bread wheat). Its description in RNAcentral is "partial small subunit ribosomal RNA". The record is from RNAcentral. Lineage: Eukaryota; Viridiplantae; Streptophyta; Magnoliopsida; Poales; Poaceae.